This 497-nucleotide ribosomal RNA is filed under the name uncultured bacterium. RNAcentral describes it as "partial 16S ribosomal RNA". It matches the Rfam family "Bacterial small subunit ribosomal RNA", at positions 28 to 507 of the family's 1533-position model. The record is from RNAcentral.
GAUGAACGCUGGCGGCGUGCCUAAUACAUGCAAGUCGAGCGAACAGACGAGGAGCUUGCUCCUCUGACGUUAGCGGCGGACGGGUGAGUAACACGUGGAUAACCUACCUAUAAGACUGGGAUAACUUCGGGACACCGGAGCUAAUACCGGAUAAUAUAUUGAACCGCAUGGUUCAAUAGUGAAAUACGGUUUUGCUGUCACUUAUAGAUGGAUCCGCGCCGCAUUAGCUAGUUGGUAAGGUAACGGCUUACCAAGGCAACGAUGCGUAGCCGACCUGAGAGGGUGAUCGGCCACACUGGAACUGAGACACGGUCCAGACUCCUACGGGAGGCAGCAGUAGGGAAUCUUCCGCAAUGGGCGAAAGCCUGACGGAGCAACGCCGCGUGAGUGAUGAAGGUCUUCGGAUCGUAAAACUCUGUUAUUAGGGAAGAACAAAUGUGUAAGUAACUAUGCACGUCUUGACGGUACCUAAUCAGAAAGCCACGGCUAACUACGUG